ACACAACCUCUCAAAAGCUAGCCCCACCCUCCCCAAAAUCAACAAAACAACAUUAAUAAACCCACAACCACAUACACCACAAAACAAAUCAUUUUUCCCCCUUAGUAUGGGUGACAAAAAAGGAACAAGGCGCCAUAGAAAAAGUACCGCAAGGGAAUGCUGAAAGAGAAAUGAAAAAACCCAGUAAAGAGCAAAAAAGUAGAGAUACUUACUCGUACCUUUUGCAUCAUGAACUAGUUAGUAAAUAUCAAGCAAAGUGUACUUUAGUUUGAAACCCCGAAACUUGGCGAGCUACUCCAAGACAGCCUAUUAUAGGGCCAACCCGUCUCUGUGGCAAAAGAGUGGGAAGAUCUUAGAGUAGAGGUGACAGACCUACCGAGCCUAGUUAUAGCUGGUUGCCUACAAAAUGAAUAGAAGUUCAGCCUCUCAAUUUCUUUACUCCUCCCUGGUUAACACCACAAAGUGACAACAAGAAAACAAGAUGGUUAUUCAAAGGGGGAACAGCCCCUCUGAACAAAGACACAACUUUAAUAGGAGGCAAAAGAUCAAAAGACCAUAAAGCAUGUACCUCGGUGGGCCUAAAAGCAGCCAACCCCAUAGAAAGCGUUAAAGCUCAAGUACCCUGCCACUUAUAAUCAAGACACCACUAUCUUAAGCCCCUUUAUAUAUUAGUAGGCCUUUCCAUGCAAACAUGGAAAAGACAAUGCUAGCAUGAGUAAUCAGAGGAGCAAGAUCCUCUCCUGGCACCUGUUUACACCAGAACGAACAUGCACUGAAAAUUAACGCCCCCAAUGAAAGAGGGCCCUGAGAAAUGUUAGAAUAACCAAGAAAUACUCUCAAAACAAAAGCGUUAACCCGACACAGGAGUGCCAAAGGAAAGACUAAAAGAAAAAAGAAGGAACUCGGCAAACACUGGCCUCGCCUGUUUACCAAAAAACAUCGCCUCUUGCAAUUAGGCAUAUAAGAGGUCCCGCCUGCCCUGUGACUCAGUAGUUUAACGGCCGCGGUAUUUUGACCGUGCGAAGGUAGCGUAAUCACUUGUCUUUUAAAUGAAGACCUGUAUGAAUGGCAUAACGAGGGCUAAGCUGUCUCCUUUUUCCAGUCAAUGAAAUUAAUCUUCCCGUGCAGAAGCGGGAAUUUAAGCAUAAGACGAGAAGACCCUAUGGAGCUUCAGACAAAAGGCAGCUCAUGUUAAAAUAACUAGAUAAACAAAACAAAUUAAGUGAUCCCUGCCCUCAUGUUUUUGGUUGGGGCGACCGCGGGGAACAAAAAUCCCCCAUGUGGAAUAGGAAUCUUUCCUCAAGACCAGAGCCACAGCUCUAAUAAGCAGAAUUUCUGACCAACAAGACCCGGCAAAGCCGAUCAACGGACCGAGUUACCCUAGGGAUAACAGCGCAAUCCCCUUUUAGAGCCCAUAUCGACAAGGGGGUUUACGACCUCGAUGUUGGAUCAGGACAUCCUAAUGGUGCAGCCGCUAUUAAGGGUUCGUUUGUUCAACGAUUAAAGUCCUACGUGAUCUGAGUUCAGACCGGAGUAAUCCAGGUCAGUUUCUAUCUAUGUAAUGCUCUUUUCUAGUACGAAAGGACCGAAAAGAGGAGGCCAAUGCCACAGGCACGCCUCACUCCCACCUGCUGAAUACAGCUAAAAUAGGUAAAGGGGCAUAUCCCCAAUGCCUGAGAAAAAAAAGGCAA
Molecule: ribosomal RNA, 1691 nt
Filed under: Sicyopterus longifilis
Lineage: Eukaryota; Metazoa; Chordata; Actinopteri; Gobiiformes; Gobiidae
Description: 16S ribosomal RNA
Rfam family: Bacterial large subunit ribosomal RNA
Source: RNAcentral